GACGAACGCUGGCGGCGUGCUUAACACAUGCAAGUCGAACGGAAAGGCCCUGCUUUUGUGGGGUGCUCGAGUGGCGAACGGGUGAGUAACACGUGAGUAACCUGCCCUUGACUUUGGGAUAACUUCAGGAAACUGGGGCUAAUACCGGAUAGGAGCUCCUGCUGCAUGGUGGGGGUUGGAAAGUUUCGGCGGUUGGGGAUGGACUCGCGGCUUAUCAGCUUGUUGGUGGGGUAGUGGCUUACCAAGGCUUUGACGGGUAGCCGGCCUGAGAGGGUGACCGGCCAGAUGCGUGCGGAGGUAGGCGCCCGCCUCUGACGGGCGGUGGGGGGGGUAAUUAGUGCACAACGGGCGGAAGCGUGAAGCGGCACCCGUGGGUGGGAGCAGGCGGGCUUGGGGUUGUACGCGGCUUCCGCAGGGGAAGGAGUGGUAGGGACGGUAAUGGGUACAGAAGCACCGGAAAAAGAGGGGCCAGCAGCCUCGAUAAUAUGCGCAACAGCACUCGUCAGACC
RNAcentral lists this ribosomal RNA (509 nucleotides) under uncultured bacterium. RNAcentral's name for it is "partial 16S ribosomal RNA". It matches the Rfam family "Bacterial small subunit ribosomal RNA", at positions 37 to 537 of the family's 1533-position model. The record is from RNAcentral.